This 468-nucleotide ribosomal RNA is filed under the name uncultured bacterium. RNAcentral describes it as "partial 16S ribosomal RNA". It matches the Rfam family "Bacterial small subunit ribosomal RNA", at positions 28 to 507 of the family's 1533-position model. The record is from RNAcentral.
GACGAACGCUGGCGGCGUGCUUAACACAUGCAAGUCGAACGGAAAGGCCCUGCUUUUGUGGGGUGCUCGAGUGGCGAACGGGUGAGUAACACGUGAGUAACCUGCCCUUGACUUUGGGAUAACUUCAGGAAACUGGGGCUAAUACCGGAUAGGAGCUCCCGCUGCAUGGUGGGGGUUGGAAAGUUUCGGCGGUUGGGGAUGGACUGGCGGCUUAUCAGCUUGUUGGUGGGGUAGUGGCUUACCAAGGCUUGGACGGGUAGCCGGCCUGAGAGGGUGACCGGCCACAAUGGGACUGAGGUAGGGCCCAGACUCCUACGGGAGGCAGCAGUGGGGAAUAUUGCACAAUGGGCGGAAGCCUGAUGCAGCAACGCCGCGUGCGGGAUGACGGCCUUCGGGUUGUAAACCGCUUUCGCCUGUGACGAAGCGGGAGUGACGGUAAUGGGUAAAGAAGCACCGGCUAACUACGUA